UACGGGGGGGGCAAGCGUUGUUCGGAAUUACUGGGCGUAAAGGGCGCGUAGGCGGCCUUCUAAGUCGAACGUGAAAUCCCCGGGCUCAACCCGGGAACUGCGUCCGAUACUGGAAGGCUUGAAUUCGGGAGAGGGAUGCGGAAUUCCAGGUGUAGCGGUGAAAUGCGUAGAUAUCUGGAGGAACACCGGUGGCGAAGGCGGCAUCCUGGACCGGCAUUGACGCUGAGGCGCGAAAGCCAGGGGAGCAAACGGG
This 253-nucleotide ribosomal RNA is filed under the name uncultured bacterium. RNAcentral's name for it is "partial 16S ribosomal RNA". It matches the Rfam family "Bacterial small subunit ribosomal RNA", at positions 524 to 776 of the family's 1533-position model. The record is from RNAcentral.